Molecule: ribosomal RNA, 164 nt
Filed under: uncultured bacterium
Lineage: Bacteria
Description: partial 16S ribosomal RNA
Rfam family: Bacterial small subunit ribosomal RNA
Source: RNAcentral
UAGGGAAUCUUCCACAAUGGACGAAAGUCUGAUGGAGCAACGCCGCGUGAGUGAAGAAGGGUAUCGGCUCGUAAAACUCUGUUGUUAAAGAAGAACAUAUCUGAGAGUAACUGUUCAGGUAUUGACGGUAUUUAACCAGAAAGCCACGGCUAACUACGUGCAAG